Non-coding RNA from Marmota flaviventris (yellow-bellied marmot), 604 nucleotides. The record is from RefSeq and is a predicted model, not a curated record. Lineage: Eukaryota; Metazoa; Chordata; Mammalia; Rodentia; Sciuridae.
UUGACUAUUUCAGAGGCUUCGUGUAAACGAAAUCAUGGAUGUUUGUCCUUCUGUCACUGGCUUAUUUCCCUUUGCAUAAUGUCUUUCAGGUCCAUCGCUACUGCCGCAAAUGCAGGAGGAGAGAAAUAUGAACUUUUGCAGUAUGAUGAAUGCUAUACCGGGACCAAGUACACCAUGGAUAUCUAGUGGUGGAGGGACCUAUCCAACUAUGGACAGGGAGAUGCUGUGUCAGGAGAACUUACAUGAGGAAACAUUCCAGCAAAAUCAAAAUCAAAGCAAAACUUUGACCUCAAGGGGAUUUAAAGGAUGUAAAAACAUGAAGUGAAAAGUGAAAGACCAGGUAGGAUGGUCUGUGUUGAAGACCUGCCUGUUGAGCUGCCUGUAUGAUUUUCAUCAAGCAACCCUCAUCUUUCUGGAUCCCAGUUUAAAUAUGCUUAAAAUGGUGAAGCUGAGCUGAUCUCCAAAUUCCCUUCUGGUCCGAAAACUCCAAUGUUACAACCAUGGAACCAUUCACCAUCCCAGCCCGUUUUUCCUUGAUCCUGAACACAGCUAACCAUGCCAGAGCCCUGUUCUAAUUCAAUUGCAUACUUUUGCACCCGCUGAA